This 87-nucleotide transfer RNA is filed under the name Danionella translucida. It matches the Rfam family "tRNA". Rfam says of the family: Transfer RNA (tRNA) molecules are approximately 80 nucleotides in length. Their secondary structure includes four short double-helical elements and three loops (D, anti-codon, and T loops). Further hydrogen bonds mediate the characteristic L-shaped molecular structure. tRNAs have two regions of fundamental functional importance: the anti-codon, which is responsible for specific mRNA codon recognition, and the 3' end, to which the tRNAs corresponding amino acid is attached (by aminoacyl-tRNA synthetases). tRNAs cope with the degeneracy of the genetic code in two manners: having more than one tRNA (with a specific anti-codon) for a particular amino acid; and 'wobble' base-pairing, i.e. permitting non-standard base-pairing at the 3rd anti-codon position. Lineage: Eukaryota; Metazoa; Chordata; Actinopteri; Cypriniformes; Danionidae. RNAcentral also lists the same sequence under 1 other name. The record is from Rfam by way of RNAcentral.
GGCUCUGUGGCGCAAUGGACAGUGCAUUGGACUUCUAGGACAGUAGAAGGCAUUUAAAGGUUGUGGGUUCGAGUCCCACCAGAGUCA